UGGAUCACCUCCUAACAGGGAGACAACAAAAUGUUUAAUAUUAUUAUUUUGUCACCUUAGGUCGAUCGGUAUCUCACGUUCUUAAUUUAUUAAGAAUUUCAUUUCCUAAGUUUUUCUAGGUCACACCCAUUAUUUUCCUGGGCCAUUAGCUCAGGUGGUUAGAGCGCACCCCUGAUAAGGGUGAGGUCCCUGGUUCAAGUCCAGGAUGGCCCAUAUCUCUAUGUUGGGGGUAUAGCUCAGUUGGUAGAGCGCCUGCUUUGCAAGCAGGAUGUCAGCGGUUCGAGUCCACUUACCUCCACUGAUUACCACCUCUACCAUAAUUUGUAGAAAGGAAUGUUUUGAGUUGUGAUCAAAUUCUGAACGAAUCUAGCUUCCUAAUGAAAUCAUUAAGAUGCUGGACUCAUUGAAUUAAUUUCAUUGUUUUCAGAGAACCUUGACAACUGCAUAGAUUAUUUUUAAAGACAAUAAGCAUCUUUAAUGAUGCAGAUUUAUUAUUUGUGCUAAUGCAUUAAUAACAAUUCUAUUAAGCUGAUGCUUCAAUUUUGAAGUUAUUGGUCAAGCUACAAAGGGCUCACGGAGGAUACCUAGGCACACAGAGGCGAUGAAGG
RNAcentral lists this transfer RNA (608 nucleotides) under uncultured Prochlorococcus sp. RNAcentral describes it as "partial contains 16S ribosomal RNA, 16S-23S ribosomal RNA intergenic spacer, and 23S ribosomal RNA". The stretch from base 140 to 213 matches the Rfam family "tRNA". The record is from RNAcentral. Lineage: Bacteria; Bacillati; Cyanobacteriota; Cyanophyceae; Synechococcales; Prochlorococcaceae.